This 429-nucleotide ribosomal RNA is filed under the name Gemmatimonadota bacterium. RNAcentral's name for it is "Gemmatimonadetes bacterium partial 16S ribosomal RNA". It matches the Rfam family "Bacterial small subunit ribosomal RNA", at positions 355 to 776 of the family's 1533-position model. The record is from RNAcentral. Lineage: Bacteria; Pseudomonadati; Gemmatimonadota.
UAGGGAAUCUUCGGCAAUGGACGAAAGUCUGACCGAGCAACGCCGCGUGAGUGAAGAAGGUUUUCGGAUCGUAAAACUCUGUUGUUAGAGAAGAACAAGGACGUUAGUAACUGAACGUCCCCUGACGGUAUCUAACCAGAAAGCCACGGCUAACUACGUGCCAGCAGCCGCGGUAAUACGUAGGUGGCAAGCGUUGUCCGGAUUUAUUGGGCGUAAAGCGAGCGCAGGCGGUUUCUUAAGUCUGAUGUGAAAGCCCCCGGCUCAACCGGGGAGGGUCAUUGGAAACUGGGAGACGUGAGUGCAGAAGAGGAGAGUGGAAUUCCAUGUGGAGCGGUGAAAUGCGGAGAUAUAUGGAGGAACACCAGUGGCGAAGGCGGCUCUCUGGUCUGUAACUGGCGCUGAGGCUCGAAAGCGUGGGGAGCAAACAGG